UACGUAGGGGGCGAGCGUUGUCCGGAUUUAUUGGGCGUAAAGAGCGUGUAGGCGGCCAGGUAGGUCUGCUGUGAAAACUCGAGGCUCAACCUCGAGACGUCGGCGGAAACCAUCUGGCUAGAGUCCGGAAGAGGAGAGUGGAAUUCCUGGUGUAGCGGUGAAAUGCGCAGAUAUCAGGAAGAACACCCGUGGCGAAGGCGGCUCUCUGGGACGGUACUGACGCUGAGACGCGAAAGCGUGGGGAGCGGACAGG
RNAcentral lists this ribosomal RNA (253 nucleotides) under uncultured bacterium. RNAcentral's name for it is "partial 16S ribosomal RNA". It matches the Rfam family "Bacterial small subunit ribosomal RNA", at positions 524 to 776 of the family's 1533-position model. The record is from RNAcentral.